This 413-nucleotide ribosomal RNA is filed under the name uncultured microorganism. Its description in RNAcentral is "bacterial SSU rRNA". It matches the Rfam family "Archaeal small subunit ribosomal RNA", at positions 330 to 745 of the family's 1478-position model. The record is from RNAcentral.
GCGCACCAGUCGCGAAUCCUCCGCAAUGCGCGAAAGCGCGACGGGGCCACCCCGAGUGCCGCCCGCUGAGGGCGGCUUUUCCCCGGUGUAGACAGCCGGGGGAAUAAGGGGAGGGCAAGUCUGGUGUCAGCCGCCGCGGUAAUACCAGCUCCCCGAGUGGUGGGGACGAUUAUUGGGCCUAAAGCGUCCGUAGCCGGCCCGGCAAGUCUCCCGUUAAAUCCAGCGAUCUAAUCGCUGGACUGCGGGAGAUACUGUCGGGCUAGGGGGCGGGAGAGGCCGGCGGUAUUCCCGGGGUAGGGGUGAAAUCCUAUAAUCCCGGGAGGACCACCAGUGGCGAAGGCUGCCAGCUGGAACGCGCCCGACGGUGAGGGACGAAAGCCGGGGGAGCGAACCGGAUUAGAUACCCCUGUAGU